CACGUAGGGCGCAAGCGUUGUCCGGAAUUAUUGGGCGUAAAGAGCUCGUAGGCGGUCUGUUGCGUCCGCUGUGAAAACUCGGGGCUUAACCCCGAGCCUGCAGUGGAUACGGGCAGACUAGAGGUAGGUAGGGGAGAAUGGAAUUCCCGGUGUAGCGGUGAAAUGCGUAGAGAUCCGGAGGAACACCGACGGCGUAGGCAGCGCCCUGGACGACACCUGACGCUGAGGCACGAAAGCUGGGGGAGCGAACAGG
RNAcentral lists this ribosomal RNA (253 nucleotides) under uncultured bacterium. Its description in RNAcentral is "partial 16S ribosomal RNA". It matches the Rfam family "Bacterial small subunit ribosomal RNA", at positions 524 to 776 of the family's 1533-position model. The record is from RNAcentral.